RNAcentral lists this ribosomal RNA (243 nucleotides) under uncultured bacterium. Its description in RNAcentral is "partial 16S ribosomal RNA". It matches the Rfam family "Bacterial small subunit ribosomal RNA", at positions 57 to 305 of the family's 1533-position model. The record is from RNAcentral.
GCAAGUCGAGCGAGAAAGCACUUCGGUGCGAGUACAGCGGCGGACGGGUGAGUAACGCGUAGGAAUCUACCUGGUAGUGGGGGACAACUUGUGGAAACGCAAGCUAAUACCGCAUACGCCCUAAGGGGGAAAGCGGGGGAUCUUCGGACCUCGCGCUAUUGGAUGAGCCUGCGUAAGAUUAGCUAGUUGGUGGGGUAAAAGCUCACCAAGGCGACGAUCUUUAGGGGGCCUGAGAGGGGGAUC